GCAAUGGACGAAAGUCUGACCGAGCAACGCCGCGUGAGUGAAGAAGGUUUUCGGAUCGUAAAGCUCUGUUGUAAGUCAAGAACGUGUGUGAGAGUGGAAAGUUCACACAGUGACGGUAGCUUACCAGAAAGGGACGGCUAACUACGUGCCAGCAGCCGCGGUAAUACGUAGGUCCCGAGCGUUGUCCGGAUUUAUUGGGCGUAAAGGGAGCGCAGGCGGUCAGGAAAGUCUGGAGUAAAAGGCUAUGGCUCAACCAUAGUGUGCUCUGGAAACUGUCUGACUUGAGUGCAGAAGGGGAGAGUGGAAUUCCAUGUGUAGCGGUGAAAUGCGUAGAUAUAUGGAGGAACACCAGUGGCGAAAGCGGCUCUCUGGUCUGUCACUGACGCUGAGGCUCGAAAGCGUGGGUAGCGAACAGGAUUAGAUACCCUGGUAGUCCACGCCGUAAACGAUGAGUGCUAGGUGUUAGGCCCUUUCCGGGGCUUAGUGCCGGAGCUAACGCCAUAAGCACUCCGCCUGGGGAGUACGACCGCAAGGUUGAAACUCAAAGGAAUUGACGGGGGCCCGCACAAGCGGUGGAGCAUGUGGUUUAAUUCGAAGCAACGCGAAGAACCUUACCAGGUCUGACAU
This 627-nucleotide ribosomal RNA is filed under the name Streptococcus mutans. RNAcentral describes it as "bacterial SSU rRNA". It matches the Rfam family "Bacterial small subunit ribosomal RNA", at positions 368 to 987 of the family's 1533-position model. Lineage: Bacteria; Bacillati; Bacillota; Bacilli; Lactobacillales; Streptococcaceae. The record is from RNAcentral.